GAUGAACGCUAGCUACAGGCUUAACACAUGCAAGUCGAGGGGCAGCGCAGUGUAGCAAUACAUGGGCGGCGACCGGCGCACGGGUGCGUAACGCGUAUCCAACCUUCCCGUUACUUAGGGAUAGCCUUCCGAAAGGGAGAUUAAUACCUGAUGGUGUUUGAAUUUCGCAUGUUAUUCAAACUAAAGAUUUAUCGGUAACGGAUGGGGAUGCGUGACAUUAGAUAGUAGGCGGGGUAACGGCCCACCUAGUCUACGAUGUCUAGGGGUUCUGAGAGGAAGGUCCCCCACACUGGAACUGAGACACGGUCCAGACUCCUACGGGAGGCAGCAGUGAGGAAUAUUGGUCAAUGGUCGGAAGACUGAACCAGCCAAGUAGCGUGAAGGAUGAAGGUUCUAUGGAUUGUAAACUUCUUUAUACGGGAAUAAAACCUCCCACGUGUGGGAGCUUGUAUGUACCGUAUGAAUAAGCAUCGGCUAACUCCGUG
Molecule: ribosomal RNA, 485 nt
Filed under: uncultured bacterium
Lineage: Bacteria
Description: bacterial SSU rRNA
Rfam family: Bacterial small subunit ribosomal RNA
Source: RNAcentral